Molecule: ribosomal RNA, 571 nt
Filed under: Tuber irradians
Lineage: Eukaryota; Fungi; Ascomycota; Pezizomycetes; Pezizales; Tuberaceae
Also listed under: 1 other name
Description: eukaryotic LSU rRNA
Rfam family: Eukaryotic large subunit ribosomal RNA
Source: RNAcentral
GAAAAGAAACCAACAGGGAUUGCCUUAGUAACGGCGAGUGAAGCGGCAAAAGCUCAAAUUUGAAAUCUGGCACCUCCGGUGUUCGAGUUGUAAUUUGGAGAGGCAUCUUCUGGAGGGGCCCAGCCUAUGUGCCUUGGAACAGGACAUCAUAGAGGGUGAGAAUCCCGUACUUGGCUGGAUGUUCCCUCCUGUAUGUAGUGUCUUCUACGAGUCGAGUUGUUUGGGAAUGCAGCUCAAAAUGGGUGGUAAAUUUCAUCUAAAGCUAAAUAUUGGCGAGAGACCGAUAGCGCACAAGUAGAGUGAUCGAAAGAUGAAAAGCACUUUGAAAAUAGAGUCAAACAGUACGUGAAAUUGUUGAAAGGGAAGCGCUUAGGACCAGACUCAGCCUUUGGUGGACAUCCGCCCAUCGGGGCGGUGCACUUGUCAUUGGUUGGGCCAGCAUGGGUUGGGACGGUGGGAUAAAGGCUCGGGAAAUGUGACUCCUUUAUGGAGUGUUAUAGUCCCGGGUGGCAUGCCACCAGUCCCGACUGUGGAACGCGCAUCGGCACGGAUGCUGGCAUAAUGGUUUUCA